GACGAACGCUGGCGGCGUGCUUAACACAUGCAAGUCGAACGGAAAGGCCUGCUUUCCCUUGUGGAUUGCGGGUACUCGCGUGGCGAACGGGUGAGUAACACGUGAGUGAUCUGCCCCCAACUUGGGUAUAAGCCUGGGAAACUGGGUCUAAUUCCCGAUAGGACUGCAGGGUGGUGUCUGUGGUGGAAAACGAUUUUCUAGUGGUUGGGGAUGAGCUCGCGGCCUAUCAGCUUGUUGGUGGGGUAAUGGCCUACCAAGGCGGCGACGGGUAGCCGGCCUGGGAGGGUGGGCCGGAGAAUUUGGACUGAGACACGGCCCCGACGCCUACGGGAAGCAGCAGUGGGGAGUAAGGCGCGGGGGGCGGAAGCCUGAUGCAGGGAGGCCGCGUGGGGGAUGACGGGUUUCGGGUGGUAACCUCCUGUCGACAGCGAGGAAGCCACAUGGUUGGAAGGGUGGUGACGGUAGUGGUAGAAGAAGCACCGGCUAACUACGUG
This 494-nucleotide ribosomal RNA is filed under the name uncultured bacterium. RNAcentral's name for it is "partial 16S ribosomal RNA". It matches the Rfam family "Bacterial small subunit ribosomal RNA", at positions 28 to 507 of the family's 1533-position model. The record is from RNAcentral.